Molecule: long non-coding RNA, 39524 nt
Filed under: Eucalyptus grandis
Lineage: Eukaryota; Viridiplantae; Streptophyta; Magnoliopsida; Myrtales; Myrtaceae
Description: long non-coding RNA (EGRA_LNC003764)
Source: RNAcentral
GAUUUUCGUAAGGUACUGUGCCUCAUGUUGUUCCAUGACAUUUCCCAAUGCUGAUGAUUGUUCUUCCGAGCAACUUAGGUUCGUACAUUUUGCAAUAAGUACUCUGUACAAUCAAGUCUAUGUAGCAUUGUGAUACUCAGAAUAAUUUCUUAUUCCUGUCUGGGAAAUAUUCUGUGAUUGAUGAAGGCGAGUAAAAUCAAAUGUGUCUGAUUCAGCAUAUUACAGAAAGUUUGAGAAUAUAAGUUGUAGGGUGUUCAAUUUUUAAGACAGUUUUGGAGUUUUGCAGAGAAUGCUUGUUGGAAUGGUGGUGUGCUUUGGAGCAGUUCCUCAUAUUUUGAUCUGUCAAUUUAUUGAAGAUGGUUUCAUGAAACUCUAGAGACCAUAUACGCUACUUCAUUGGACCUCUUUCUAUUGUGUCAAAUGAAUAACCAAGUCCAUCAUCAAAAGAUUAGUCCUAUGACAACCUGUGAAAUAAUUCUCAUCUAUCCUAAAUCAUUUCAAUUUUCAUGAGGUGUUGAUGUAAGUAAUUUCCUCGCCUGUAGGGAAAGAACUUUAAUUGAUAUGGUUUCUUUGUCUCCUAGUUGCUGGUACCUCUUGUGAGCUCCUACCGUUAUGAUGGAGAUGAGGUGAAUAUGACUUUGGCAAAAGCAGAGGCUAAGAUACUCCACGAGAAGAUCUCAGAGAAGGCUUAUGGCCAUGAGGAUCUCAUAAGGAUUUUGGCUACUAGGAGCAAAGCACAGGUCAAUGCUACGCUGAAUCACUACAAAAAUGAGUUUGGAAAUGAUAUCAACAAGGUGAGUUGGAAUUUCUAUGAACUGGACCUUUCAAGUUCUUUUACCUAUAUGUCUAAAGCUUAUAGCUCCUCAAGGAUGAAGAGUGCCAGGGUAGUAUUCUUUUUGGUUAAUAGUCAUGUUAUUAAGAGGCAACUUCAAGAUGUCUUGUUUCAAAAACAUUGAGAUGUGAUAAUAUCACCCAUUUCCGAGUUGUUCAUUCACUUCCAGACUAUAACGUCUGUACUAUGCAUCAGAACAUAUUGACUUUUCUUUGUUCUAGAUUAGGGAUUGUCUAAUUCUUGAUCCUUCAUGUUCACAGGAUUUGAAAACUGAUCCAAAAGACGAGUUCCUUACUAUACUGAGAGCUACAGUAAAGUGCCUGACUCGCCCUGAGAAGUAUUUUGAGAAGCUUCUUCGUCUAGCCAUCAAUAAGCGAGGAACAGAUGAAGGGGCUCUGACCAGGGUAGUUGCUACUAGGGCCGAGGUUGACAUGAAGUUUAUAGGUGAGGAGUACCAGAGGAGGAAUAGCAUCCCUCUCAAUCGUGCCAUUGUCAAGGACACUACUGGAGACUAUGAAAAGAUGCUUCUGGCAUUGAUUGGCCACGUCGAGGCUUGAUUUACAAGUACUCGUGAAGCUAUUCCGGUGGAGGCAAUAUCUCUUUUUUUGGUGUGGUUUGAGGCGUUUCUAUUUUCCUUGCUUUCCAACAACGUGUAGUUACCAACAUGCCUCCCCAGUUGUCAGUUGUAGCUAUGCGAAGCAAAUACACUUCUUAUCAUGGCGUUGGUUUAUGUACUUAUGAGAAGUCUUUGAUUUUGAUCUUUAAUCGAGACUGCUAGUAAGUGAUCGUGAACUUGGUUUCCGUGCAAUCAUGUUAUACCAGUGCUAGCAAAUUCAAUGGACAAUGCUGCAGAAACUGCUGAUGCUAUGGCCUUUUAGUUGAUGAGGAACAAAUAUUAUAACGAUCGGAGGUUAAAGUCCUAUUGAAGUAGCUUGAGGAUAUCCAUCAAAUGUUUGUGUUGUUUUGCCAGAGGAUGUCCAUCGGGGUGGCAGAAUCUCAACCAUAAUGCUUAUUGCUUAGGGUCUUUUCAGCUUCAUGUGGAAACUACAGAUUGCAUUGCCUUUUUCAUCUCUUAUAACACCUCCAUCAGGCACGAAUGCUAUCCGAACCAUCUAUAUUAACAUUAAACCACCCACAGGAGCCUUGGAGAUGCUUUAGCAGUAUCAUGGCAAUCUCUUAAGUUGCUUACCACCACACCCCCACUUCCCACAAGAAAUUCAGCUGCUAAUUGCAAAUUGAUGCGAGGCUGAUCUCAAUAAGCACAACCAUGAUGCAAUUGCUAUGGAACAUUUUGCAGCACACCUAAGGAAGCCUUAUCAAUUAAUCCGUUACGGGUUCAGAUCAGACUAAAAUCCCAACAGGGAAGUGCCAACAGGCACGCGGCCCAUUGGGGUGGGUUUCCAGGGUUGAUUUCCAAGUUCAAAAGUUGGAGUGAGCCCAAAAAAGGAAAAAAAAAAAGCAGGGACGCAAACUGAUGACCGAAAGAGCACCAACUUGAUGGAUGGACAAGCAGAAGUUUCCCUACCCGUCAAGAGCAAGAGCAAUCCCAGGACAUGAAGUGAGGCAUGACCACAGGUAGAAUCUUCAGAAUAUUUUCGUUCCAGGCCAAACAGUGGUCUUAUUAUGAUUGUCCUCCAAUCUCCAAACCAAAUUAGGCUUGUCAGAGAGCAUGCGCAUUCUCAAAGUGGAGAGGAUCAUGUUGUAGCGAAUUGUUGGACCAAGAGGAAAAGAAAGAUUCUUCCCUAGAACCUGUCAAGCCCCCUGCACUUGGAAUUCUCAUGACCUUCACAUGAUGGUUUGACCAAGCCCUUAAGCAAUACCGUCGCCAAGUUAGACUACCAGCGCUAAGGGACUUCUCUUUGCAUGGAGUUUGGGUUGGCAUGGUUUUCUUACUUAGUAUUAGUAACUUAUUCCAAGCAUAUUGUCAAAGCCCUUGUGACUUGCAAUCCGUUGCAGGUCAGUUUGAUGCAAUUGAAAAGGUACAUGGUGGUGACAUAUUAUUAAUAUGAGGAGCAUAUACAAAGUUCAAAGCUACAUCUUGAACAGGGAUGGGAUAGAAAGUUUUCUUAGAAAACCAUUGAUCUAUUUGAGCAAGGACAAGUCCAAGGAAUUCCACAUCCAAAAAAUUAAGCAGUAAUGCAAAUUAUUUACGGUGAAAUCUCUAUCAAGCUAAGGAUUUCUCAUUUUACAAUUACGUUGUGUCAUAUAUCUAUCACAUGGCAUGGUACCGCUUGACACAUUCAUGUGUGAGCUUUACCCUAUAAUUUGUCUUCUAAUUUUGACUUCAGAAAACCUCUAAUCCUAGUAAAUCUCUAAUUCUUAUGCAUUUUAAGUAAUAAUUCUCUAAUCAAUUCUUCUGCAUAUUUGUGUGAUGAUGCUCUUAAUCGUGACUUUAGCAAAUAUAUAAUCCUAGCAAAUCUCUAAUUCUUAAUAUAACUAUUUAUUCUUAUGCAUUUUAAGUAAUAAUUCUCUAAUCAAUUCUUCUGCAUAUUUUUGUAAUGAUGCUCUUAUUCGUGACUUUAGCAAAUAUAUAAUCCUAGCAAAUCUCUAAUUCUUAAUAUAACUAUUUAUGUGUAGAUUAUAUAUGGAAAUACCUAUAUAUUAUAUAUAUUAAGAAGUGUCUCACUAAUUUCAUCCCUAAUUUAAAAACACAACUUAAGCAAUUGAAAUGUUUAUAAUGUCUUAUGACCUUUUCAUUGUUAUAAUAAUUUGCUUCUCCUCUAUCUCUUUUUUGUUAUUAUUUUUUAUCAAGAUCUCUCUUUCCCCCAUCCUCAAAAUGACUCCCGGUGCGAACUAGUUAUAAUGUUUACAAAUUUAUCGUUAAUUCAACUAAUUUGCAUAGUUUUGUGAUUAGUUUAUCACGUCUUCAUAUCCUCACUAUCUUAGUUCACCGGAUAUAAAACCAACUUGAUGAGAUUCGUGAUGACUAGUUUCUAUAUCUUGUAAGUGCCACCUAGAGAUAUAUUCUUCCAGUAUUUAUGGAAUCAUUCUCAUAUCUUUCUAACAUUUUGAGAAGUGAUUUUUAGAGUUUAUAGAUUGAGGAAAUUGGGGUUUCGAACCCAAUUAAGAUUUAGCUUAUUGGAUCGUAAUUGUAAUUCUCGAUCGAGGAAAGGAAAUCCAAUGGUGAUAUGGGCUACCUUUUCGGUCCAUGGAGCAGCUUCAGAUGCAGGUAAAUGAUAAUGGUUGUUUCGAGGAGAGUGAAGUUGAGGGUAUAUGAAGAGUUUAAAUUUAAAGUGGUGUGCAUGCAUUUCCUUUAAGAAUACUUGCUUAAGAUUAGGUUUACAAACGUUUAACAUUAUCGAGAUAUAUAUAUUGGGUAAAGACCAUCUCAUAUUUGAUUGCUAUUAAUAUCUAAGAUCAAUCUCAUACCAGGCUCAUACUUGACAUAUAAAUAAUACUCGUAUUUGAAAAAUAAAAUAUCAAAAAAUCAAUCUCAUGUUGUGUCGCGACCUAAAAGUUCCGGGGCACCACCUAGACUUUUAGGUUAAUGGAUUACUAAGUUUGAAACUUAACUCAAGCCUUCCCAAGCUCAUACCAAUUCGCGACUUAGGGUUCCAAUUUUUUUAACAUGCAGAUGAAUUUUACCUAAGAGUCGCCACUAAUCAGUUUUCGGUAGAUCGAUUAGAUACCUAAGUAAAAUAAUGGGAAAAUUAUUUUACUCCUACGAACCAGAUAUUAUAAGUGCGGGGACUUGAUUACGCUAGACUAAUCUAGUGCCAUUUCGGUACCUUUUAUUUAAAUAUAUAUAUAUAUAUAUAUAUUUGUAGGCAGUAUUGAUUAAUUUUAACUUAAGCUAAAUAACAUGCAAAUUGUGGUCAUACAGGUACACAAUCAAUGAAAUAACAUUCAAUAAACUAAAGUGAUAGAAUUGUAAUAAAUUAUUAAUGACAACCUUACAAAAAUGCUAAUGAAAAUGCAUGCCCUAAACAUGAUUUUUUAAAUGACAUGACACUUAAUUUUUUAUUAAUUAAACGUAAUCUUAAUUCAACUUAAUAUGCAUGAAUUUAUUUUAAUGACAUGCGAGAUGCAAUUUAUAUGGUAUGACUUAAACUUAUCACUAUAUGUAUGCAAUCUAAUUUAUAUAAUCCUAAAUAUGCAUGUGCUAUGUGAUAUGGGAUGAAUGACAUGGUAUUUCUACAUGCAUGCUCUUUUAUGAUUUUUUUUUUUAAUGAUGAUUCAUUUUUUAAUACAUAUAUGCAACCUAUGUUAAAUAAUGAUGAUAUGAAAUGAGAUUAAUUAUGAAUUAACCUAUUAACUAACCAAGGAAAUGAUCUUUAGUUUUUUUUUUCUUUUUUAAUGACAUAAUGUUUUUUUAUUGAAAAGAAAGUAACUUAAUGGUGCAAUGAUCAUCUUUUAGCAUUUUCCUUUUUUAUUAAAAAAAAAACAAUUAAACUAUAACUCAUAUGGCAUGCAUAACAUUUUUUGUUCCUCUUUUUGUUUUACUAAAUGAAAAUUGACUUAAUCUAAAAAUAUCUAAGUGUGUUGCUUUAACAUGAAAUGUGUAUGGACCUAAGUACCUAAGUUCUAGAUAUGACAAUAUUUUACUAAUAAACAAAUUCUAAUUAAACCUAUUAUGCAAAUUAAUUAAUAUGUACCUAAUAUUUUUUGGAUUCUUUUUAUUGAAAUUCGGAAUUAAAAAAAAAAACUAAUAAGACUAACUAAAGUGAAUGAUAUUCUAAUUUAUUUUAGGAAUCAAUUUAACUUAAACUAUAUCUUAUCUUAAAAGCUAUAUAAAAAAUCAAGACAUGCCAACAUUAUUUAAAAUUAGCUCUAACAAAAAUCACCCAUCUAAAAGUACAAUCUAAUAAUUAUAAUCCUUUAAAUGCAAUUCUAAUUUACUAACCCUAAAAAUACAGUCCUAAUUUACUAAACCUAAAUGCUCUAAUGCAAUAUUUAGAUUUUUAUGCACUUUUUGAUUUUUGAUUUUUAUUUUUUUAAUCUUUCCAAACAAGUAAUUAUUUUAAAAGAAUGAAGAUAAGAAUUAAAAUAACCGAAAAAAUAAUCCGUUGUCUCACGGAUUAAAUUAAUAAUUAUUUUAACUCUAUAAUGAUUUAACAAUUGAAAUAUUAUCAAAAUUCCUAAAAAUUAAGGUAAUUAAAAAAAUGACCCGACGUCUUACGGGUCAAAUUAAUAAUUACCAUAAUUUGGGAUAAAACCCCUUAAUGUCUACAAGGUCUACAAAUAUUGACAUAUAAUACUACAAUUCAAAUAAUUAAACUUAAAAAUAAGCUAAUAUAAAAUGAAAUAAGUAAAAAAUAAAAAAUGAAAAUAAACUACCUAAGGCUUGGAAAAUGGGAGCAGCGACGGUGGUAAAUGGCGUCGGUGGAAGGGUGUCCGGCGUCGUCAGAAGUUACCGUCGAUCGGAGUCUCCCCGUGGUCGGAGCUCCAGCGAGGUCUGGCAAAGGUAGACCUGCAACAGAAACAGGGGAGGCAGCAGGGAGCGUCGGGGCGUUGCAGCGGCAGGCACAGGCGGUGCGGGUCUCCGGCGAAAGGCAGCUGACGCGCAGGCUACUGGCGCGGGCGUCGGGGUGGAGCGGCGAGGCGUCCGGCGGCUGGGUCGGCGAGGAGGGCUCGCGGGCUGGUGCGUCGGAGGCGUUGGUACGGCGUCCAGUAGGGCAGCAGCAACUCGGCUUAGGACUCGCUGGCGUGCAGGGGCAGCAGUGGCGCGGCUGGGUGAACGCGAUGGCGCAGGUGCGGGCAUGGUGGUGGCGGUAGCUGCGCAGGCUGCUGGUACGGGCGUCGACGGUUACAGGCGUCGAAGGUGUUGCUGGCGUCGGAUGGUCGCCGUGGACAGAGACGCGGGCAGGGGCGGCGUUCGAGCAACAGCAGUCCGACUUGGGCGGAGACGGAGCAGGGUUGAGCUGCUGCGGGGAGCGUCGGCGAAGGAGAUCGGAGGCGCGAGCGUCACGGGAUCCGGUACUCGGGUGGUCAGAGGCGCAGCAACAGCGGGAGCACAACGGACCGGCUUGGAAUCGGCUGCACUGCGGGUUGCAGAGGCGCGGUCGUCAGGCUACAACGGAGGAGCAGUUCGUCAAGCAGAGGGUGGAGUGGCUCGACUCGGGCUCGGCCAGAGCAGCAACAGCGUCGGUACAGAGUCAGAUCGGCACUGGGCGGUCGCGGACAAUCGGCGGAGCGGCGAUGGCUGGCGGUUCAACUGCCGGCGGUGGGUGGAGACGCGGUAGGCGCGACAACGAGCAGAACAGGAGCCGCAGCAACGUCGGAAGGGGAACGGGCAGUGGCCAGCACGGCGCGAGACUACCCACGCGAAGAAGACGACACUGUUCCUGAUUUUUUUUUACUUUCCCUGCUGAUUGACGUCUUUUCACGGUCUCCUCUCUCUGCUGAACCCUCACACGUCUCCCUCACUCUCACUUUUCUGCUUUGCCUCACGUCAUCUCCCUUGUAUCUUCUCUUCUCUCCACCUUUUUUUCUGUUUGACUUUUCUCCUUCCCUCUCUCACAAAUCGAAGCCCUCUUUUCUCUUUUUGCUCCCUUCACUUUUCACUUUUUUUUCGACGAAGAUAAACCGCCCCCUUUGGUUCCGAAACCCUAUCUAGCACCGACACCGACACCGAUACGGACAUGUGGCACGUGACACGACACGACAUUACACGUCGACACGUCAUUUUUUAAAAAUAGAGAAUUUCGACACGUAUUAAUUUACACAAAAAUAUUAAAUAAUAUAAUUCAUUAUUUUAAUUUGUUACAAUAAUACACAAAACUUAGAGGAAAAAAACGUUGUUUAAAUAAAAAUGCUGAAAUGAUAUUUUUAAAUUUAUUUAUUUAUCAUAUAUAACAUUUUUUAUUACUUCUUUCAGAGUAAAAUACUUUAAAAAAAAUAAAACAAUUCUAAAAAAAUAAAACUGAAAAAAAAAUUGACCCAGUGUGUGAAUAUUUAUAGCAAUUUUAUUACUUAUUUUAUUACUUCUUUUGUGUAUAUUUAUAUUUUGACCCCUUAAGUAUUAGAAAUUUUUAAAAUUGACCCCGUGCGUGUCAAAAUCGCGUGUCAGAAUUCUGGACUCGCGUGUCGGAGUGAGUCGGAAAAAGUUGACCACGUGUCGGAUUUUUCGACACUCGUUGACCGCGUGUCGGAGCGUGUCGGGACGUGUUGGAGCGUGUCGGACACGUGUCGGAGUGUCGGACAUGACACGAAGGCUUCCGGAGAGUGUCCGUGUUACAUAGCCGAAACCUCGCCCUUUACUUAUAGAGGAAGGCUCAAAGUUAUUUUUUGCGAGUGAGAUAUUCACUCAACAACUCCAACAAUGAAAAGGCUUCAAAAUCAAAUAAAAACUGAAUUUUUUUGAAUUUUGAAAUGAAGAUAUAUUUUCAACAAGAAAUUUCCAAAACCGAAUUUUUAUUUUAUUUAUUAUUUUCUAAAAUAUUAGGUGUCAACAUGUUGGAUUUAUAUUUAACAAAUAAAUAACAUUGAAAAAAUCAAUCAAAUUAAUAUUGAUCAUCGCAAACAAUUUAUAUAACAUGCUCUGCAAAUGAACCAUUAUAGUAAAUCACCCAUCAUAGAAGGGAAAAACGGUAUAUGUUUAGAAGGUCCUGUUACAUGACUGUAUGUUUCAGCAAUAAAUAUAAGGAUAGGGUAUAAUGAGUGACUAUUGUUAUGAUUAGUUAUAUGAAUACGCAUUAUAACAAAAUAUUUUGUGGAAUUGCAUAGAAAAAUGAUAUUAACAAAUCAAUAAAGAACUUAUAUAACGAUAGAUCAUAUUUAAUAAAUAAAUGACAUUAAUAUGUCUCAAAUCUAUGGUAGAAAACAUGCUCGCAAAUAGUUGAACAGUGCAGAAAUAUUUAUUAUAACAUGAUAAUUUAUAUUUAACAAAUAAAAAAUAGUUAAAAAUUUUAUGACAUGAUAUCCCAGGUAUAAUAAAUAAAUAAACAAAUUUAUACUAAAUCUCUGCUAAAGUAUCGAUAAUAACGUAACCCAUCAUCACAGAAUAUUGCUAGAACAUAUUAUACAAAUAAAUGAUAUUAGCUAAUCAACUAAAAAAAGUUACCAGUGCCUUGGUAUUAUUUCUCCAAGAAAGAUGGGAUAAACAACUAAGAUGUCAAUUUUCGUCGCAAGUGUGCUGGUUCACCAAGAAAUGGCAUAUAAAUCGGUAUUUUUUCAGACUUGUCGUAGAAAAGAUAAGGCACAUCUUUUAAAGCGAUGAAGACAAGUAUCAAUCAACGUUAACUGUAUCAAAUAAUUAUCUUGAAGUAACAAUCUUUUAGGAUAAUAAGAAGUAUAUAGUGUCGAUCCCGUGCAAUGUAUGGACAUCUUGUUAACAUAUAAGAAAAUGAGAAUACUAGAACCUUCCUCUGUUAACGUGAAGUCAUAAAUGUAUGAGAACAUGUACAUGUCAUGCCCCGAACCUUCCCUCGUCGUGGGAAAAUAACAUUUGUAGGAUUAAUUUGCAACGUCCCAGGAGAUGCUACCGUCUCGUUACUUUUAUAUUUUAGUUAAGCACAAGCAAGAACGUGCAACUAUAAUACCCAACCAAUAAAUACUAAGCUGAUAGUAAGGAAAAUACAUACACAAACACACUACUUAUAUUAUGCUUCAUUAGGAUUGGAAGGUUGCAUUUACAAGCUUGCUUAAUUGGGCCAUUCUGAUUACAUCCAAAAGGGAUAGAAGGUUAGUCCUAACUCCUCUACAAGGAUGGCGUCAAAAGCUAGUAUCCCCAUGGUUAGGCCGACGUCCUUAUGGGACGAGGUCGGAAUUAGUCAUCGAUUGUCUAGCGGAUUCAACACCGUGACAUCUGGUGAGGAUUUGUCAAGGCCUUUAGGUGGUUCGACAUAUCUCGAAGGGUCCAAAAUAACCCCCAUUAAACCAGACAUACCAAGUUUUGAACCAGUGAGGAACUAAAUGCCCUACACCAGCUUCCACCCGCAUCAUAGUGGUACAUUGUUUUAAUUUUGCUGACAACCCAUGCUCCAACGACAUUUGUUGAGGUCAAAUGUGGGGCCCUCUCUUGAUUUAAGAUUAUGCCUUACCUUCUUUUUUUCUUCUUCUUCUUCUUUUUUUUUUUUUUUUUUGCUUUUCUUUGUUCAUUUCGAUCGAUAAUGAUCGGACUUCCCGUAUCCAUACCCACUUUUGAUAGUAAGUGCUCUAUUUUGAGGAACAAAAUUGGUGUCCCUCUUUUUCGAAAAAUAGUUUAUUUAGUAGAUAGACGACUGAUUAUUAUGUUAAUGAGUUGUAUAUUCUCUUUUGUACUAGGCAAUUAUUAUUUAAAAAAUAACCUUAGCACGAGUAAGAGAAAAAACAAUCAUCUACUAUUUUUAGUAUGCAUUUUUUUAAUUAUAAUUUUUAUAUGCGUUAUUACAUUGUAGUUUGUAUAUUUUAACCUCUCUUCUUUCAUUUUAUUGAGAGAAUCCAAUAGUCCAAUUUUUUGUUACUUUUCAUGCCAUCAUUUCAUGAUAUCCAAAAUACGAAAAACUUGAGUACAUAAAAAAAUUUAAACAUCAACUAUUAUCACAAAAUGCAAAAGAAAAUGCUCCCCAAAACAUUGUUACGUAUAAUAUUAUCUUUGCUUUGAUUACGCGAUUGUUGACAAGAAUUCAUGACAACUGUAAUGACACUACAAGACAACCCAAUCAAACCAUUUGCAAACUUAUUUUUUUGUCAAUUCUAAAUGCAUCGGAAUUUUUCAUAAAAUCAUCAAUUAAAAGUAAAAUUAUCCUCAAGAUACAAAUGUACUGCAAUAAUAGCAAAUUGCAUAUGCAACUUAAUAAGAGAUAUUGUUCGUUCGAUUGCUUGGCUCCCCUAAAAAAGUUUACUCUCGAAACUAUAUAUGUAUGUAGGAAUAAUUUUCAAUGUUAUAGUACCACAGCUCCAAAUGAACUAGUUGACACGAUUGAUUGUUGUUCUCCAUUCUUUGUUUCAUCAUCAACGGAUAUAUUUUAAAUAUUUGGUUGCUCUUCAAUAUUGUCCUCCAUAAUGACUGGACUACAAAAAAUAAAACAAUGAAAGAUGAGUAUAUUGUAUAUAAUGUAUUCAUCAACCAUAAUAUUCCACCUUUGAGUAAAUUAUGAUAAUUUUGUACCAAAAGUCGAAGUCAAAACAUUGAAAAUCAUGAUGAUUUUAUGGGAAAAUAAAGUUAAUAAUUAGCGAAAUAAGUUUAGAAGAAGACAUAUAUAAAACGUUAAACUGUAAUGGGCGUGGAAGAAGCAGACAGAGUGAAAAAAAAGUUGCUUGAGACGAUGUGUGUGGUUUUUUCUUUUAAUAAAAUAGAUACAAAAGAAAACAAAGAAAAAAUGUAAGAAAUAAUCUUAAAUCAAGAGUGAGACUCGCAAUGAAUAAUGUAGUUAAUUUAAGGUGAAAAUAAGGGUGUCAAGAGCCAAUAAACAUGGAUGAAAUGCCUAGAGCCUUGAUUUAUCCUAAUUUGCUGUUUUGCUUGUGACUUUCACACAGUUGUUCAUUCCUAUAUUAGAAAUUUGGACUUACUUUAAAGAUUGCAUUAUCAAUUAUAUUUUUUAAAUGAACGUGUGUAUGGUCCGGCAAGAUCUCAAAACCCAUGCGCGACCUGGCCCGCCCGUUAAUCUGGCCUGAAAAAUUUGUCCAAAGCCGGCUCAACAGGCCCGGAGGGGGCCUGCCUACCGCGUGCCUCAUCUCCCUCAUCUCACUCCUCGUCCCUCCGGUUUCCACUUCGGGAAGCCCGAUGUAGGAAUUGCACCGACACUCGUACCCCCCUCUCUCUCUCUCUCUCUCUCUCUUGUUCUCGCUUCGACGUGAACGCAGAGCCGGUGCUCUCCAUGGCCGAUGAAUGCGAUCAACUCCGAAAAGCAUUCGCAGGGGCACGCUAUCUCCUCGCCACCUUUCUCAUUUCUUCGUGCUCCCCUGUCGUGCAUGGUCCAGUCCGAGUGAUCUUGUGGUGGCGAUCUGAUCUAGAGUUCUUGUGCUUUCUUUUUGGGGUGAUCAGCUGCUAAGGUCGAGCUGUUUUUGGGUCCAGAAGUGAUCAGGAGAUGCAAAAAAAUUCGAUCGAUCAUUAUGAUUUCCUUUUGAAUUCGACAUGAUUAUCCCACUGUAGCUGCAACAUGUUCACCAGUACAAAGUGAAGAAAUUGUUUUCCUACCUUGAGCCCGGCAUGUAGUGUGGUCUUGGAAAAAAAAAUAACACUUUAUUGUCUAAUCUAAUCUUUUCUCGUUUGAUGAUUCUCAUGAACGACUUGAAGGAUGGGCAACAAAUGAGAAGUUGAUCAUCUUCAUAUUGGCUCAUAGGAAUUCGGUGCAGAGGAAGCUGAUUAGGUAAACCUAUGCCAAGAAUUAUGGCGAGAACCUCUUCAAGGCAGAAACUUGUAUUUUGAUACGGUUUGUUUGUCUCCUAGUUUUGUCUUCUUUCGAAAGAUUAUACAGCCAUUGUUUUCAAUUGUUUCUCAUGAGAGACAUUGGAGAAAUACUAUAAUUGCUAUCUAUCUACUAUUCUCAUUUGAGACGUUGUAUCUUAAAGGAAAUUUGCCAGUGAUCAUUAGUAACAUUGUGGGAUAAAUAAAUCCUUAAAGAAAGUGAAUCACGCCUCAAAAUCCGAUUUGAUUGCUCUAGAGAUCUGACUUCAUUGUUCUACCCAAUUUCAAGCCAUAUUUUUCCAGCAAUUUUAAGGAUUUAUUUUGCAACAAUGAAGUCAAGUGGAUGAAAGUUAUGAAUCAAGCGCCGGUUGUCGACGCAAUCCUUCAUCGUCUGAUCCACGCGUUCUUCGUCCAUUCACAAAAUCAAUUGGAUCUUCUGGUGGAGUUACUGAGGAUCAAGGAAAUCCGGAGGAUCCGUGAGUCUUUUCAUUUCUUUCCUUCACUUUUGUUAUUUUUGCGCAUGAUGAUUGGGGGACUCGAUGACAAGAGAGAUUUCGGCAAGAGCGAUCCGCAACGAAUUAUGCGCACCGUGGGGGGUUUGAUUUUAUCGAAUCCCGACAUGGGUUGUGGGUCGCCAUGAGGAAUGUGCCAAAAUGCUAAUCUGAGAGUUCCUUCUUCUUCUACUUCUUCGUUCUCUCUUGUAUGUUUCGGUGUUUCGUUGUUUUGUUACUGCAAUUGGGUGUCUGCGAUUUGAUUGCUCUUCGUCUGGUAGACACUGCAUCCGUUUAACUAUGAAUGUUUGGCUCGCUUCUGGAGAUUCUCAGUCGGGAUUCCCCAUGGGUGGAUGGUGCGGGAUGCCUCAAAGUUGAAAUGCCCCAUGAGUUGGGAUGCUCCGUGAGUCGGGAUGCCCCGAGAAUGUUGGAGAUAUAGAAGUAAUAACGAAUUAAAUGCAUUAUCAUGUGUAGAAUAUUAUUUUAAAUUAAUUACCUUGUGCUAAAACAUGGUAUGCCAUAUGCAUAAGUCUAGAUGGAAGCAUUGUUGGAUGAUGAUUACUGUGAUGUGUGAAAAUGCGAAAGAAAAAGUCUACUCAUGUUUUAUCACAUUUGCUAGAUUGUUAUGCAUUUACUUUGUGUGCACCGGGUGAAGUGGUAAGAGGAAUUUUCUAACUUAAAAUUACAAUAUUUACUAGGCUUCGGCUCAUUCCUUUAUUUAUUUUCAUAUGUGUAGGAUGGACACAACUCAACCUUUGUGCUAUGGAGUUCCUAUCCAUUAUCAAGGUCUUUAUGAAAGUUUGCUUAAACCUAAGUCUAGAAUAGUGUAUACCAAGUGUAGUUCUACUGCGUGGGUUGACGUGGGAGGUUUCAUGGAGUGGGUCCCCUAAAGAUUUGUCGCCUAGUAUCGGAACCUGGACGGCGAGUUGGUUUGUCCAUUGAAGGGCUUCGACCUUGAUGAUGGUGGCAACACAAUGGAGGGAGAAGUUAUCGAUCCAUGACUUUGGUCUGGACGUUUGUAUAGGCAGGCUUUUGAAGUAUAGUAUGGAGAUUGGUCUCCCUAACCCCUACCUAGACUUUUGUAUCUAGCUCGUAAUGUAGUAAAGUGGUGAACUUAAAUGUGGUAUAAAUAAAAGAAGUAUAAUAUGUUAUCUAUAUUCGUACGGCUUUCUUUCUAAUGGGAUUUUGGAAAACGUUUGAUUACGCUUCUGCAUGCUAAAAGAGAAUGAUUUGUGCACAAGACUUGUUUGUUCUGGGCAUCACACAUAUAUUGGUAAUAAAUCUUUAAAAAUAACUAUUUAUGUACAGAUUAUAUAUGGAAUUAUCUAUAUUUUAUAUAUUUAAAAAGGCUCUCACUAAUUUCAUACCCAAUUUAAAAACACAGCUUUAGCAGUUGAAAUGUUUAUAAUGUCUUAUGACCAUUUCAUGGUUAUGAUAUCUUGUUCUCCACUGUCUCUUUUUUGUUAUCAUCUUUAAUCAAAAUCUCUCUCUUUCCCCCAUCCUAAAAUGACUUAUGGCUUAUGGUGCGAACUAGUUAUAAUGUGUAUAGAUUUAACGUUGAUUAAACUAAUUUGCACUGCUCCGUGAUUAGCUUGUCUCAUCUCCAAAUCUUCACUAUCUUAGUUCAUUAGAUAUAAAACCCACUUGGGGAGAUUUCGUGAUGACUAGUUUCUACAGCUUGUAAGUGCCACCCAGAGAUAUAUUCUUUCAGUAUUUAUGGAACCAUUCUCAUAUCUUUAGAACAUUUUGCAAGAGGGGUCGUUUGACCCCUCUUGACGCAUCGAUAAUCUACCAAUCAUGGUUUUGUGGAGUGAUUUUUAGAGCUUAUAUAGAUGGAGGAAAUUGAGGUUUCGAACCCAAUUAAGAUUUUAGCUUAUUGGAUCGCAAUUGUAACUCUAGAUCAAGGAAAGGAAAUGCAUUGGAAAUUUGGGCUACUUUUUCGGUCCAUGGAGCUGCUUCAGAUGCAGGAAAAUGAUAGUGGCUGUUUCGAGGAAAGUGAUGUUGAGGGUAUUUGAGGAGUUUAAAUUUAAUGUGCUUGUAUGCAUGCAUUUCCAGCCAUUCAAGGUGGGAAAAAUAAAAGUGUCCUUUAAGAAUACUUGCUCAUGAUUAGGUUUAAAAGAGUUUAACAGCAUCGAGAUAUUUAUCUCUUCUUUUAUUAAUAUUAAUAUAUGAAGAUCAAUCUCAUACUGGGUUAAUACUUGACAAGUAAAUAAUACUCGUAUAUGAAAUAGAAAAUAUUAUAAGUUCAAUCUCAUAUUGGAUUCAUUUUGACAAAUAAGUAGCAUUAUAAAAAUCAACAAAAUAUAUAUCCAUCAUCACAAACAAUUUAUAUAACAUGCUUUACAAAUGAAUCGAUAUGAUAAAAUCACCAAAGGGAAAAAAAAGUACAUGUUUAGAAGGUUUCAUUACAUGACUACGUAUAUUUCCACAAUAAGGAUAGCAUAUAUUGAGCAAUUCUUGUUAUGAUUAAAUGGUUAUACAAAUACCCAUUAUGACAAAAUACUUUGUUGAAUUGAAUAGAAAAUUGAUAUUAACAAAUUGAUAAAGAGCUUAUAUAAGACAAAAGACCAUUCAACAAAUAAGUGAUAUAAAUGUGUCUAAAAUAUAAGAUGCUCGCAAAUAGCUCAUCGAUGUAGGAAUAUCUAUUACGACAUGGUAGUUUACAUUUAACAAAGAGAAAAUUGAUAAUAUAUAUAUAUAUAUAUAUAUAUAUAUAUAUAUAUAUUUGUAUAACAUGAUAGCCCAAGCAUAACAAAUAAUGAUAUAAAUAUGUGCUAAAUCUCUGCUAAAGUAUUGAUAAGAAUUUAACCCAUCAUCACAAAAAUGCUAGAACAUUAUUUGCAAAUAAAUGAAUAUUACCAAAUCAACAAAAAAUAUUACCAAUGCCGAGGUAUUGCUUCUCUAAGAAAGAUGCGAUAAAUAACUAUAAUGUCAAUUUUCAUCACAAAUGUUGCUUCGCCAAGAAAUAUCAAAUAAAUCGGCAUUCGUUCAGGCUUAUUGAAGGAAAAAUUAGGCACAUUUUGUAAGGAGAUGAGGACAAAUAUCAAUCAAUAUUAAAUGUAUCGAUAAUUAACUUAAAGUAACAAUUAGUGCUCGAUUGACGACCAACUUUUAGGAAAAUAUAAAACAUAUAGUGUUGGACCCAUGCAAUGCACGGGCAUCUUGCUAAUAUAUAAUAAUAUGAGAAUACCAUAACUUUCCUCCAUUGAUGUCAAGUCGCAAAGGUAAGGGAAUCCGUCGAAGUCCUUUAUGUGCCGCAUUUUUCUGAGUAGAGAAUAUCUUCUCUGAAAUACAAUAUUCAACUUCACUGGGGUAACUCUUCUUGACUCGAGCAGGACUUUCUCGUUGCAUUUUUGGAAUUUCAUCAAGCAAUAGUGCUUUUUUGUUUUUGGGCAUAGAUAUAUUGGUUUAGCUUUCCCCACUUUUUUACCAUUAUUACAUCCCAGUCCUUGCUCCAAAAUGACCUAUAAAUCUUUGCAAAUUAACAAAACAAGUUAUGACAUGAGUUGUGUGGAUCCAUAAGUAAUAUUUUUCUUAGCCGAUGAUUGUGGAUUUAUAAGUCCAUUCACUCAAUCAGAAGAAGAGGGAACGAAGAUUGAAUCACUUUAAGGUAGACCAUAUUAUCGUUGAUGCAAAAACCAAAAUGAGCUUUGAGUAAUUAAAGAAAGAACUAAUAGAACUACCGAAUUGUUUACUUGCACAGAAUCGUGGCUUUUUAGAACCGUGACAAAUUUUCAAACUUAGAUACAUAUACAGGUGUUGAUACAAAUAUCAAUCCUGGUCGAAUUGGGGUGGAGGUGGUUUUUCCAAGAGGAUGGUGAAGAAAUCUAAGGAUAUGUGGCAUGGUGAGAGUUAGGACCUGUUUGAUAAUCAUACUGUUUCUAAGAACAAUUUCUGCUUAGAAAUUCUUUACUAUUUUUAAUUCUGUUUCCUAGACAAGUUUCUAAGCAUUCGAACGCGUUUAGUAACUGUCUAAAAUUUCUAUUCUCAUAACAGAAAAAGAAUUGGAAUGCAAGGACGACCUUCAAAUUUUUUUUUAAUUUAUAAGUAAUUUUAUGAAUUUUUUUUCUUCCCUUUUUUUUUUUUUUCCCUUCUCUUCUUCUUCCUCCUCCUGCAGCGGUCGCUGGCAAUCUUGCCAACAUCAAGGGAGCCUUGUCGUCCCCUUUUUAGGUCGAGUCUCACCCUAGUGGAUGAGGCUCGGCCUCACCAUGGCCAAGUGAGUUGACCUCGUGGUGGCUGGGUGAGGUUGAGCCUCACCAAGCCAAGGUGAGGCCAACCUCGCCUUACCACAGCAAGGUCGAGCCUCGUUGAGGGCUAGUGAGGCUCCAGUGAUGUUGUUGAUCAUUGCUGAGCCCGGCAACUAGCUAAAGGAGGAAGAAGAAGAAAAGAAAAGAGGGGAAAAAAAAAGAAAAUAGCUUAAUUUUAGAAUUGUUCUAGGUAACAAAAAAAUAACUUUUUUUCUAUUUCUUGAUUCUGUUCUAAAUUUAUUCCUAGGAGAAAAAAAAAAGUUAACAUUACCAAACAAAUUAAUGUACUUUUUUUUUUUCAGGAAACAAAAGAACAGAAAUAGCUAAGAGUUGAUCGGUUACCAAAUAGGCCCUUAAGCAAUCAUCGGAUGAAUUGGGGAUAGCCCCCUCAAGAUUCAUAUCCCCAAAGGUCACAAGGAGAGCAAAGUUACAUUUGGCACUGCUUUGCUCCUUGGUGUUACAUGAUACCGCAUAUGUACACGUAAGUAUAUUCGGUACAAGAGAGGGCUCCCGCCACAUUGAUUCAUUCAAGAUCACUUCUAUAUGAAAAUCUUGUACUUUCUUCAGGGAGGUCAGUUUUUGUAGAUUCUGCUCCACUUAUGAGAAAUAUUCUCGUCUUGUUUUCCCCUGUAAAAGCUUGGCAUGAUGAAUGUAGCAGGAGGAAUUCAUAAUUGCUACUUUGGCCGAAGCAAGAAACCCGAUCAUUUAUUGAACCGAGGUACAUUGCCCAAAAGAAAAACGUACUCAGGUAUGUAAGAGUCGGUAGAAUGAACAGAGAAAAGAAUUACGCGUGUAUAGCACUGAAGCAGAGAUGUUUGUUGGCUUAAGAGAGAAAAAGCAAUAGGAAAUUUGCAAUCAUUUCAAGAAGACGAUGGUGGAGGUGGAAAGGCGAUGAUGGGUCACAAUCUGGUUUUUCCGGAAAAGAUCAAAUAAACUUUGAGAAAGCUAAGCAUUGCUUUUAAACUUUAAGAGAAAGUGAUCAAUGGCUUCUCUACCUCUUUCUCUCUUUUCCACCACGAACUGCAGAUUGAUACGUGUCUGAAGGACAAUUCUAUAUCCUCCAGCGGGGUGCUCAACAAAAGGAUGAAAGGCCAAAAGAGGAAGAGAAGUAGAAUAACGAGAUGUCAGAAAGUUUUCUACGUCCACACUAAAAGGGGAAAAUCACGCAGGAAUUGCCUUCUGUAGACGUGUUGGAAUUAAAUAGGACGAGAUAUCACUUGUGGUUUUAUUCUAUAUAAUUUAGGACUAAGAAAUACUCUAGCGUCGUAAGUUUUGUUUUUACCAUAUUUAUAUUGGAUUUCUUAAAUGCGAACUCUUUCUAUUUAGUAGUAUCGACAAUCAAAUCGAACCACAUAAAUAAUAUCCAGUAAUCUUUAUCAUUUCUGGUCGAUAUCUUUGGUAAUUCCUUUUCCUUGUGUUAGAUUCAAAUUGCAAGGCUUGUCAAUUGCCACGCUGUUUCACUACAUUAGUUGUGUGGACCAGUAAGUAUAUUUUUCAUAGUUGAUGAUUGUUAGGGGAGGAAGACUGAAUUAUUUAACGUAGACUAGAUUAUGUUGAUGCAAAAACCAUAUAGAACUUUGAGUAACUAAAGAAAACUACUAGAAUUCUGGGGACCAUGACAAAAUCUACUUUCUUCUUCCAUGAUUUCACACCUUACCUUUCAAUUCCAACAUUAAAGUCCAAUGUUCAAAUGCAACAGAUUAUGCUAUGCAUACAGACACUUCCACCAAGUCAAGCAUUGCUUUUGGACUGUAAGAAAAGCAUGUACCACGUACAAGUUAAAAAAGGAUGAAAAGGAAUAUAUAGGAAGAGAAGUAGAAUAAUUAGAUAUCAAGAGUUUGAUGAGAGGGGAAGAUUGUGCAGGAAUUAUCUAGUGCAAUCUUCAUUGAGAUUGCGAUAUUGUGAGGUAACACUUGUAAGUUUUAUCUUGGGUGUAAUUUAAAAUGGGAAAACACUUAAACAAUUGUAAACUCUGUAUUCAUUGGAUUCAUAAUGGAUUUCUAAAAUACUAGCUCUCCCCUUGGAACAGGUAGCAACACUCAGACCAAAUUACAUAAAACUCUAGUGUUUUUUUUUUUUUUUUUAUCGUUUCUUGUUAAUUUCUCUUGUAAUUUUGUCUUCUCAUGGUAGAACUUGUGGUUACAUGUCAUGACAAGUGGCUAGUUUGGUCAAACUGCUCUUAUUGGUCUAUAAACCUUUGAGUUAGUGGUUCCAUGGGAAAAUUACCAAAAAAAUCCUAAACUUAUUACAAUUGUGUCAAUUUAGUAUUAUUUUUUUUUUGGCCAAUUCAAUCCUAAACCUUUGGCAAUUACGCCAAUUUAGUCUGUCUUGCCAAUUUUAGGCGAUUGGUACCGACGUGAACACUAGCCGACACUAACAUCAACAACUUUUAAUAUUAUUUUAUUUUUAUUUUUAUUUUUAUUUUUAUUUUAUUUUUUUAUUUUUUUAUUUUAUUUUAUUUUAUUUUUUUAUUUUUUUAUUUUUUUCCUCUUCUUCCUCCUUUUCCUUUUUCCCCCACAAUGGCUAGGUGAGGCCUUGGGAUCGUGACCUAGCUGGCUUUGCCCAGAUAUGGGGGAAGCCACCUUGCCCACAUGUCCCUAACCUCGCCAUGGGGAAGAAGGAAAGGAGAAAAAAAGGAAAAGGAAAAAUAAAAUAAAAUAAAAUAUUAUUAAAAUUUGUUCAUGUCAAUGUCGCCCAAACAGCCGGUGCUAGCUAACGUCCAUUUCACCAAGUGUCGACCAACGUCUACGUUAGCACUGUUUGCCUAAAAUUGGCGGGAUUGACUAAAUUGCCAUAAUUGCAAAAAGUUUAUGACUAAAUUGGCAAAAAAAAAAAAUGUUUAGAACUACAUUGACACAAUUAGAAUAGGUUUAGAACUUUUUAGUAAUUCUCCCGUAAUUCCAUUGUUGCCUCUUCUAAUAGGAUGACUUUUGAGUGGAGGUAUUUUCAAUGUAUUGCUAAUUGGAUUUACCCAACUCAUCACCUAUAUAUAUCAUGUACCGUUAGCCAUACCUGUUGAGAACCACAUAUGAUCAACCGUCCAGAUGAGCUUGGCGUGCUACAUACGACAUCAAGAAGAGAAUCAAGUAAAGUCAUUGUGGAAUGAUCAAUCAAAAAGUGGGAACAAUUAAAGCAAAUCAAACUUUCUUUUUGUGCACAAAUAUAAUGUGAAAAGUCCUUUGAAAAAGCUAGACUUCUACAUCCAACAACUCAAUCAACGGAAUACCACGGUCCAUAGUGGUAAACUCUUUAUCGAGCAAUUUAGAAUUCAAAUUUUAGGAUAAUGUCGUCCAUGUAUCUAAUAAAGCUACAUUACCAUGAAUCGAUCAAUGAAAACAAGGGGACCUAGAGACGCAAAACUGACAUUGAUGCCAGAAGACCCAAAAAUCAAACAAAAAAGAAAAUUUAAAAAAAAAAAAAAGGUAAUGACCUACUGAUGAAAAAUCAAGUCAAGUCGACCACUUUUCUAGUAGCUUUGGAAUCGUGUUUCAUGCAAUAUGUACACGGGGAAUUUGUCCAAUCUUCUUCCAUUGCCGUGUUUCACUUGAGUGGAGGAAUCUUUUCAUAAAUCACUAUCAUUUCUAGUGGGGACGGGACUUUAAUGUCACUUUUUCUUCCAUCACAUCUCCUGUCCUUGACGGAUCUCGUACAAUCUUCAGAGAAUUUCUCGAUGAUGGCUUACUGAUUUACGAUAACGAUUUCUACAUAAAAGCAGAAACGAAGUAUAGCUCAAAACAGCAUUAGCAUUUCCAAAAAAGAAGAAUAAACUCGAAGAUAGGUCUUCCUUGUGCAUUUCUAGAGUUUCAUGCUUUUUUGGCAAUGAAUUCAUAGUAUUUUAAUGCAGGUUGGGAUUGUAUAUUGGUAAUAUUAUGUUUUUGUGUACUUGACUUUCAUCCCGGUCCUUGCUCUAAAAGAGACUAACAAGUCUUUGCAAAUAAAGGACUACAUGUAUUAGAUAUAUCAUGAGCAUUGCACAAAUUAAUGAAAAGUAUUAUGGUAGUGGGCCAAGGAGAAUGGAAUUAAUGGUUAAGUCCUCCACUGAUGUCAAGGGUCUGUCCUCAUUGGGAAUUUGCCCCGUCUUCUUCAAUGCCGUGUUUCACUAAGUGAAGGAAUCUUCUCCAAAAUCACCAUCUCUUCAAGUGGGCGUGAACUUUUGUGUCACUUUCUCUUCUAUCCCAUCUUCCAUCACUAGCAGAUCUCUUCCAUCCCAUCUUCACGAUUCUUAUUAUCAAAACCUCACAUAUGUUAAAAUUCCAAUUAUUUUAGAGUUCAUGGCUAUGAAGUCCUACUUUGGUAUCAUUCUUAUCACGAAUAACAUAUGAUACCCAUUUGAACAAAGCAAUUUUCCCUAUUUUGCAAAUAAAUUAUAUUAAAAUUACAAAAAAAUUAUAUUGCAUGAUAUUAUAGCCCCAUAUUAAACAAACAAGCUAUAUGAAAUUAUCUAAAUUAGAUCAUAACACAUAUUUCAUGUACAAAUGGAAAUUAGAAAAUUAAUAAUAAAUUAUCUACUAACACAAACAAUCUAUUGAAGAAAACAAUUAACUUAGAAGGGUUUUGUAACAUGAUAGUGCAUGUUCAGUAAAUAUAGGAUGUUAAAAAAUAGUUUUAAAAAAAUUAAAUAACGUGAUACUUUCUAUGUACUAAAGACAUGACAUUAGAGGAUCAAUAGAAAAUUUUGAUUAUGCAUGACUUUUUUAUAUUAUGAGAUCAAUAAAAUAAAAGCUGUCAAAUAAAACAAGAUGUUAAUACCCUAAAAAACCCCAAAUCGAUACAAUUGUCAUAAAUUUAUCCAAAACUAAUUUUUUCACCAUGAAAAACACCAAACUAGUAUACCUGUGACAAAUUUACCUAAAACUAAGCUGGUAUAUUUGUGACAAAUAUACCCUUUGUGAAAUUGGAUUAAUACCAUAAAAAAAUCACAAAAAUGGUAUAAUUGUGACAAAUGAAGAACAAAAUUUUAAAAUGGUAUACUAGUCAACUCUCAUAUAUCAUCCAACUCAACCAUAUAAUGGUAAAAUUUAAAGGAAAUUAAUAGAGAGUAAAUUUGUUACAAGUGUAUCAAUUUGGGGUAAAUUUGUUAAUUGUGUACCAAUUUUGGGUUUUUGAUAGUUACAAAAUUAGUUUAUGGUAAAUUUAUUAUAAGUGUACCAAUUUAGAGUUUUUGAGAGUAUUAACCCCAAAACAAAAGAACCUGUCUUUACAAAAUAACUUAUUGUAUAGCGUUGAAGGGUCAUAUCACAUGAUUGUGCAUAUUUGACGAAUAAACAUGAAUGAAAAUUUGAUGACCCUUCCAACUAAAUGCAUAAUCAGUGAUAACUCUUAUCACUUUGCAAUUAGUAUAAUUGUGAAAGGAGUUGAAUAAUAUAUAGAUACACAUACAAAAAUACUUUCACAAAUAAAUUAUAUUAGUCUAUUAUUAAAAAGAACUAUAUAUAAAAUGAUAGCUCAUAUUUGAUGAAUAAAUGAUAUUAGAGGAUUAUUAAGAAAUUACUUGUCAAUUUUACAAAUAAAUGAGUACUAGGAAAUCAACAAAAAAGUUCUAGCAAAUAGAAAAAUAUAAUUUCGUAAGGCUUAUAGACCAUCAUUUCAUAAUGUUUAUAGUGGAAGAAAAUAUAUAUUUAUAUAUUACGCUUCCGUAUUUCAUACACAUUAUCACCAAAUGAGUCUUAUUAUUAAAUAGAUAAUCAGAGAUUACUCUAAUGAGAUCAUUUUUUAAAAUAUUUUUUAAGUUGGACUAAAAUAACGAUAAGAACAUUAUCAAUCCUAAAAAAAAAUAUUAAUUAAACAUAUCUUACAAAUGAGUGAAUAUCAUGAAAUGAUAAAAUUGAAUUGAAAGUUUUUGAGAGCAUGUGAAGAGAUGAUUUGGAUGAGUCUCAGUAAAAUUGUCGAAUAGAAAGUUUCAGAGAGUCUAUCUUAUCAAAAUAAACAAAUUCUACAGAAGGGCCUAUACUUAUGAAAUUAUAAUAAGCGUGUCAAAAAUUAUAGCACUUUUGAGUUUUGAUGAACACUUCUUUUUAUCGCGCAAAGCCAAAGUGGCAUUCCCUUUUCGUCGUGAAAAGCCAAAGCAAUGUUGUCACACUUCUAGACCCAUACAGGCUGCAAGCCCUCGGAGCUUCAUCUCAAAAGACAAUAAACUAUCUUUCAAAGGGGAGGCCCUAGCCUUCAAUUAUUGUUCAAGUUGUGAUUUUGAAUUGUGGCACGUAGUUGGUGCAAUCCAUAUCAUUAACUUGUAUGUUUGUGUUUUCCAAAAAGAGAGAAAAAAAAAGAAAUUUUAAAAAUCAUUUAAAUUUUAGUAAACAUGAAAAACUAUAUGUGAAUGAACAUGACAAUAUUUGUAUGUUUUGAAACUUUCAUGUGCUCCUAGUUAAUAAACGGUCAGAUUUGGAUUAACUUAAAAAUAAAUAAAAAAAUAGAAUCUAUCCACUCAUGUACGAAGUGGACUAGGCUGUAAAGUUAAUACAAGCCAAUAUGAAUUAAUCGUCAGUAUUAGAACAACUGAAUAAAUUCCUGAGUAGAUAUAAACCGAUAAAAUGGACCUGAGUAGGUCCUUAAACUACUUAAAGAAACCAGAUAGACAGGAGAACCGUCCUGGGGUGAGAAACCCUGCUCUGUUUGGGACCUGUAUUCCCCACCAGUCGGAAGACAAAUAUCGGCUAGGUGUAGGGAGAGUCAGAGCCGUGUCCCCAAGGCAUUAUAUUGGGAGAAACUAGGCAGCCCAUUGUCACUGUAUAUCAAACGGACAGGCAUUGGUAGACCUAGUUGGGGAGGCUAGACCUCCUCCUACUCUUAGUGGAGGUGUUAUAGGCUUAAACCAAACCCAUAGCACUGAAGAAGCUAAGGCCAACUCCGGUUUAGAAAUGUUAUGCCUUUUUCAUGAUUUGACGAUUUCCAUUUUGGAUUUAUUCACGAGAGUCUUAACUUUUUCUUAUAGAAAGAAUAAGAAAUCUGUUCAUUUCAUUCUCCAAAAUUUGGAAACUCUUUUACUAGUAUCCGUAGAGUUAUAGAGAUGUGUAGGAAACAAUUUCUUCCAUAAUUAUCUUUUAUUAUUUUUUGAUAUGUAAUAUAUAUAUAAAAAAUUACUUAAGCAACAAAUAGAGGGUAAUGAGAAUUUAUUAAAAGAAAUAUCAAUCAAGGAUGAAAAAGUUGCCAAAGUGAAACGCAAAAGCUCGCCGAUAGCCUGAAUUUGAGCCUGAUAUACAUGGAUAAAAUAUGGGGCACAUGGGUGGAAUAAACCCAGAUUGGAUAAAAAAUUAAAUUAAAAAAAUUAAAAUUUAAAAAGAAAAGAAAAACCCAAAAAAAAAAAAAAAAAACAACAACAACAACAACAAUUUUUGCUGUCUUCCAAUAUUGGAGUGAUGGAGUAAGGCAUAUGACAAACAUAGUGAAAAACCCACAAUUCUUGACAUUCCAUGCAGAUGUCUCUCUGCUCUCCAGUUGAGCAAUUGAUCCACCGAGGAAUCGUUAGUCUUUUCAAGUCCCUCAUGUUCACAUUGGAUGAUUGUGAUUUCGCACCUCCACGCGGUUCAAUUAUCCGAAAUGGGGAAUCAAUUGAAACCGACAUUUUCACUGGCCCCUCAUCCACCACCCGACCAAUUUGGCCAUCAUGACCAUUCACACCUAUUUGUUUGGCCAUCAUGACCAUUCACACCUAUUUGUUUCUCCUGAUUUAACCUCGUCAUCUGCUCCUCCUUUGUUGCUAUUUUUCGCUAUCGUCAACGACAAUUUCCACCGCGUGAUUGUCGCCGCUGUCGAGACGCAAAGAGAUGUGGCCAGGAGGAGGGAGGGGGAGAGGGAUGGGGCCAGUGAUUGACGCACGAUAGAGGGGGCAAUUGUUGCGCGGGAGACGUGGCUAAGAUCCGGAGUGCGGUUUGGUUCGCUGAAGGGCCCACGAGAGAGGAGCUUCCGGUGGCUAUGGCCGUUACCAAAACAGUGAUGCAUUGAAAGAUUUUAAGAGAUUUUCGGAGGACUUUCAGAGAUUUUUAAAGAUUCUCAAUUCUAUUUUAAGUGGCGCUAAACAUAAGAGGUAAUUUUUUUCAAUAGGAUUCCUAAUCCUACUUUGUCUUAUCCUAUUCUAAUUCAAAUCUGGACAAUCAAACAUAGCUAAAAUGAUCUAAUUUUUUUAAUUGCGGUUUUAGGCUUAUAUUCCAUUUUGAUCUCCCUUCUUCGACGUAGGACUUCACUCACCUCCAGCCAAACAUUACCAUGAGCACAAUGGUAGUUAAUUCACUCACGCCACUCUCACUCAAGCAUGCGGUAGGCUUUGAUUUAUAAUAUUUUAUUGAGCUUUUGAUUUUUUAUUUAUUUAUAUCAAGACUAAAUUAAUCAAAAAGACUAAAUUGGUAAACCAUCGAAGAGUUAAGGACUAAAUUGAAAUAAUUAAAAGGUUUAUGACUAAAUUGACAAAUUAUCAAAAAAUUUAUAACUAAAUUGACACAUUUAAAAAAUUUAAGGUGGAAUUGUUGUACAAUAGAUUUAAAAAUUUUCAAAUAAUUUUUUGAAAGUUGGAUCUCACACGUUAUAUGUUAAAUUACGUGAAGUCAACUAAAGGAUCGCCAUCGCUAAAGGCUAGAAAAGAAAGAUGACAUGGGAUCAAAAUAGAGAUUGCACAUGGCCUGCGCAACGUCAUAUCAUAGUUGAAUUGGCGUGUUGACUAUGACCUUUGUCUUCAAUCAUUUCUCUAAUUCAUGAAUUCUGAAACGGAAGGAGACUAAUGAUCAUAGAGUAGCUGAUCAAUUUAACGAACUUUUUUUCCAACGGUGUUAAUUGAAAAUAUACCAAAUAAUCAUUGGACAAGGGAUAUUUAUCUGCAACUUUAUGAAACAUAAGUGCCUCCGUAAUUUUUGCUUACAUACAUGGUGUCGUCCCAAAUAAUUGCCUCGGCAAAUACAACGGAGGAGAGUUAAUGGUUAUAACAAAAUAAAAGUUCAGAAGAUAAUUGCGUAUUAAUUAAAAGUUUAUGGACAAACUUGUAUUACGUCCAAAUUCAGAAAAGUCUUGGGUAAUUUCCCUAGAAUUUAAAUUUUAUCUCGUUCACCGGGAAGAAGUGAUUAUUGACUUGGUUGUGAGGUUGUUGACUCGCUGGUCCAAUUUUUCCUAUAAAUAGGUCGAUUGUACCUGUUCCAUUUCAGCACAUAUUCGCCUAGAAACGAAGAAAAGCCCACCCGAAGUAACCUAAACCUGUCAUGGCCUACGAGAAAAAUAAAGCACAUUUUGUAAAGUGAUGAGGACAUAUAUCAGUCAAUAAAUUUAUAUUACCAAAUCAACGAAAAAAGUUACCAGUGCCGAGGUAUUGCUUCUUCAAGAAAGAUGCGAUAAAUAACCAUAAAGUCAAUUUUCAUCACAAAUAACCAUUGGGAUUCGCCCUAGUGGCCACCCUUCUAACAUGGAAGGGGGAGGUAGGGACGAAUAAGUUUCAGGAGUGGGUUUCGACUCCCACGCCCUGCAAGAGGCAGGACAAAAGUCUGAGGGUGAGUGUAGAGUAAGCAUAGAGUAGGACUGACAAAAAAAAAAAAUUCAUCACAAAUGUUGCUUCGCCAAGAAAUAUCAAAUAAAUUGGUAUUUGUUCAGACUUAUUGAAGGAAAAAUAAAGCACAUUUUGUAAAGCAAUGAUGACAAAUAUUAGUCAAUAUUAAGUGUAUCUCAUAAUUAACUUGAAGUGACAAUUAACGUUGGAUUGGCAACCGACUUUUAAGAAAAUACAAAACAUAUAGUGUUAGACCCGUGUAAUGCUCGGCGAUCUUGCUAAUAUAUAAUAAAAUGAGAAUACCAUAACUUUCCUCCAUUGACAUCAAGUCGCAAAGGUAAGGGAAUCGGUUGAAGUCCUUUAUGUGCCGUGUUUUUCCGAGCAGAGAGAAUCUUCUCUAAAAAUACAAUAUUCAAUUUCACUGGGGUAGCCCUUCUUGACUUGAACGGGAGUUUCUAGUUGCAUUUCUGGAAUUUCAUCAAGCAAUAGUGCUUUUUGUUUUCCGGGCGUAGAUAUAUUAGUUUAGUUUUCCCCCCUUUUUUAUCAUUGUUACAUCCCAGUCGUUGCUCUAAAAUGACCUAUAAAUCUUUGCAAAUUAACAAAACAAGUUGUAACGUGAGUUGUGUGGACCAAUAAGUGAUAUUUUUCUUGGGCAAUGAUUGCAGAGAAAAGAAUUGCGCAUGCAUGGCAUUAAAGCAGAGAUGUUUGUUACGUUAAGAGAGAGAAAGCAACAAGAAAUUGGAAGUCAUUUCAAGAAGACGAUGGUGGAGGUAAAAAGGGCUAUGAUGGGUCAAAAUCAGUUUUUCCAAAAAGAUAAGAGAAACUGUGAGAAAGCUAAGCAUUGCUUUAGACUUUUAGAGAAAGUGAUUAAUAGUGUCUCUAUCUCUUUCUCCCUUUUCCGCCAUCAAUUGUGGAUUGAUACGUGUCUCAAGGAUCAUUAUGAAUCCUCCACCGGGGUGCUCAACAAAAAGAUAAAAGGCCAAAAGGGGAAGAUAAGUUUGGACCUGAGCAGGUCCUUAAACUGCUCCACCCUGAAUCAGAUAUCCUAGGGUGCCCAAUUAGCCCCAUUUACAGGAGAUUUAACUGGGAUUACGAGAUAAAGUCCCUAUUGGGCUUCCCCGCCAACCCCUCCAAAGGGAGGAGAGCCCACCUCGGAUCCCCGUGAAGCCCUUCUCCUAGCAUACUAGGCUAGGUUCGGGGAAAUGAAGAGGCCCGGGUAGACCCCCACCGUGAGCGGGCUACCCGGGGUGGCGGCGACGACGUCAAAAAGUUUUUUCCGUCCACAUUAAAAGGGAAAAAUCAUGUAGGAAUUUCCUAUUGCAGACAUGUUGGAACUAAAUAUGAGAUAACACUUAUGGUUUUAUUCUAUAUAAUUUAGGUUUUAUUCUGUUGAGUAAUAUCAACAUUAAGACCAAAUCACGUAAAUCUCUGAUAUUUUUUUUUUAUCAUUUUUCAUCAAUUUCUUUAGUGAUUCCUUCUUCUUGUGUUAAAUUUGAAUGGCAAUAUUCGUCAAUUUUCACAUUGUUUCACUACAUGAGUUGUGUGGAUCGAUAAGUAUAUAUUUCAUAAUUGAUGACUGUUAAUUGGUAAGUCCAUAAGUAUAAUAAGAACGAGAGGGGAGGAAGACUAAAUUAUUUAACGUAGACUAGAUUAUUUUGAUGGAAAAACCAUAUAGAACUUUGAGUAAUUAAAGAAAACUACUAGAAUUCCGGCGACCAUGACAAAAGUCACUUUCUUCUUUCUUAAUUUCACACUUUACCUUUCAAUUCCAUCAUAAAAGUCCAGUGUCCAAAUGCAAUGGAUUAUGCUAAGCAUACAGAAACUUCGACGAAGCUAAGUAUUGCUUUUGGACUUUAAGAUAAGUAUGUACCAUGUAAAAGUUAAAAAGGAUACAAAGGAAAAAAAAAUAGGAAGAGAAGUAGAAUGAUUAGAUGUCGAGAGUUUGACAAGAGAGAAAAAUUGUGAAGGAAUUAUCUAGUGCAGUCUGCAUUGAAUGUGAUAUUAUUGUCCAAAGCGGACAAUAUGUGUACCUUGGAGACCUAGGAUAUUACAAGUGGUAUCAGAACCGAUUCUCAACCGUGUGUGGGGCCAUAGCAAUGAUGUGUGCUCCUAAGGGGUGGAGAGUGUGACAGCCCAAGCGGCGAUGCGCAGGAAUGAGGGAUGGCGGUGCAUCCACGUCUCGGUUCCCGGACAUGCAUAAGGAGGGGUAUGUCUCUUGUCCCACAUCGUUUAGGAAGGGAGUUCUGGGCUAUCUUAUAAGGUAAUGUGAUCUCUAAUUGUAUACACUUGUUUUCUUGGGAUAGUAUGGGUUGUCCUAAAAAGAACAAAACCAUGAGAACUUAGCGUCCAAAGUGGACAAUAUAUAUAGUGUUACACUAUGUGCCUUGUACAUGCUAACGGAAAAUAUUAUGGAGGAUUAAUGGUUGUAACAAAAAGAAAAUUUAAUUCAUUUAAUCUCUUAACUUCACCAAAAAAAAAAUUAAUUCAUUUAAUGUUGCAAAAACUCAGUUCAGAAAAUGCUUUAAAAAGGGGAUUUGUUAGCAUCAACCGACAAAUUCAGGAACACUUGUCAUGAAAAUCAUUUAAAUAUCAAAGGACAAGGUGAUGGAGCAGCGAUUUAGAUUGAUAUUUCGUUAAAAUGGGCAACUAAUUACGCCGAAAAAAUAUGAAAAUUAGAAAAGGGCCAACAAUGGUAAACGAAAGUGAGAUCUAACCUGUUAUAUGUACCACGUGAAGUCACGGAAAGGAUCGCUGUCGCUUAAGGCUAGACAAGAAAGACAACAUGGGUUCAAAAUAGAGAUAGGGUCUACCAAUAAUUGUAUUGGCGUGUUGACCACGGCCUUUGCCUUCAAGUUCAUAUAUUAUUCAUACUAGGGGAUAUACGGAUUUUAUAGUUGAUAAUUUUACCAACCUUUUUUUUUCUGACAGAGCAAAACGAAAAUAUACCAACUAAUUAUUGGACAUGUCACUUUUGUGCUUGAGAGUUAGGUAUGUAAUCAAAUAAGCCAAAAAGAGUCAGCUUCGUACUCUACGUAACUAAGAAAAAUGCACGCCAGUCAUUCAAUGUCACUGACAAGGGAUGUUUAUUUGCAAAUUUUUGUAACACAAGUGCCUCGUUAACUUUGAUAUGUCACAGACAUAGUGUUGCACCAAAGAAUUGCCUCGGAAAAUAUAACGGAGGGAUAAUGACCAUAGCAAAAUAAAAGUUCCAAAGAUAAUUGACUUGGUUGUUGACUUAUGGUCCCCAUUUCUUCUAUAAAUACGUUGGAUGUCCAUUUCAACACAUAUGCACCUAGAAAAUAAGAAGGCCCACCCAAAAAUACCCCAAACCUGUCAUGGCCUCCGAGAAACAACUCUCAAUGUUGUCCCUCGCUUGUGUCGUUCUCAUGCUCGUGCAAGAAAUGUCUUGUCUUGCUUCAACACGAAGCUCUUCUAAAAUGGAAGUGGAGGCACUCCUAAAAUGGAAGUCUAGGCUAGACAACAAGAGCCACUCUACUUUGUCUUCGUGGAACGGAAGCAGCCCUUGCUCAUGGCGCGGAAUCAUUUGUGAUUCUUUCGGGAGUGUUGCCAGCUUGAACCUUUCGCAUUCUGCCAUAGACGGUACGCUUCAACAUCUCAAUUUCUCCCAUUUACCCAACUUGGUCGUCCUUGAGCUUACCAACAACUCACUCUUCGGAAACAUCCCUCCGAGCAUUGGCGAUCUUUCCAAGCUUACUUAUAUUAACUGUUCUCAAAAUAGCUUUUCGGGAAACAUUCCAACUCAACUUGGGUCAUUGCGCUCUUUACAAAUUCUCGUGUUUAAUGAUAAUAAGUUCACCGGUCCAAUUCCUUCUUCCAUGGGAAACAUGAGCAGCUUGUGGAACUUGGAUCUUUCAAGUAAUGAUCUCAACGGAUCCAUCCCUACAGCUCUAGGAAAUCUGAGUACAUUACAAUAUCUUUUCCUCUAUGGCAACCAACUUUCUGGGCCCAUACCUUUAGAAAUUGGAGGAAUGAGAUCCCUAACCAAAUUGCAACUUUUAGGCAAUAAUUUAACAGGUCCUAUCCCGUCAUCCAUAGGCAACUUGACCAAUCUAUCUGAUCUUCGCCUUUUCAAAAAUAUGUUAUCGGGUCCUAUCCCAUCCUCCAUAGGUAAGUUAAUUAAUUUGAAUCAUCUUUCCCUUUAUCAAAAUAUGUUAUCGGGUCCGAUCCCAUCCUCCAUAGGUAAGUUAAUUAAUUUGAAUUAUCUUUCCUUUUAUCAAAAUAUGUUAUCAGGUCCUAUCCCAUCCUCCAUAGGUAAGUUAAUUAAUUUGAAUCAUCUUUCCCUUUAUCAAAAUAUGUUAUCGGGUCCUAUCCCAUCAUCCAUAGGCAACUUGACCAAUCUAUCUUACCUUCUCCUUUUCCAAAAUAUGUUAUCGGGUCCUAUCCCAUCCUCCAUAGGCAACUUGACCAAUCUAUCUUACCUUGACCUUAUCGAAAAUAUGUUAUCGGGUCUUAUCCCAUCCUCCAUAGGUAAGUUAAUUAAUUUGAAAAGUCUUUCCCUUUUCCGAAAUGAAAUGUCAGGCUUUCUUCCCACCGAGAUGAAUAAUCUCACAUCCUUCACAGUCUUACAGCUAAGUGAUAACAAGUUUGUUGGCCAAUUGCCACCAGAAAUAUGCGGUAAGCAAGCUCUUGUGUAUUUUUCCGCAGCAAACAAUCACUUCACUGGACCCAUCCCAAGAAGCCUGAAAAAUUGUUCAAGUUUGUAUAGAGUUAGGCUCCAAAACAACUUGCUCAAGGGAGAUAUAACCGAUGCUCUUGGUGUGUACCCCUCCUUAAAUUACCUUGAGUUGAGCAACAAUGAACUUUACGGUGAGCUACCACCAACAUUAAGUCAAUGUAGAAAUUUGACGAGCUUUGAGAUCUCCAACAAUAAAAUCUCCGGUGCCAUACCACCUCAGCUCGGAAACAUGACUCAAUUGCAAAGACUUGACCUCUCUUCAAAUGACAUCAUCGGGGAAAUUCCUAAAGACCUAGGAAAACUGAAGUUGCUGCAAGAGCUUUUUUUGGACUACAACCUUCUUGUAGGACACAUCCCUCAAGAACUUGGAGCAUUGUCUAAUCUAGAGAAACUCAACAUUGCAAAAAACAACUUGAGUGGCUCAAUUCCUACCCAACUUGGGGAGAACUCCAACCUUUUGUUCUUAAAUUUAAGCGGGAAUAAUCUUGAAAAGAGUAUUCCCAUCGAGAUUGGGAAUCUUCAAUAUCUUCAAUAUCUUCAACAUCUCGAUCUGAGUCGAAAUUUGCUCACGGGAGAAAUACCCAAACAAUUCGGGCUAUUGCACAUAUUAGAAAUACUCAAUCUCUCACACAAUCAACUAUCCGGUUCAAUUAUGUCGACCUUUCGUGAUAUGACAAGCUUGACAUCCAUCGACAUAUCGUAUAAUGAGUUAGAGGGUCCUUUACCAAACAUUCCAGCCUUUCGCAACGCUACAAUUGGAGUCGUGAGAGGAAACAAAGGCUUCUGUGGAGUUAUUACUGGUCUCAACCCCUGUACAGCAACAACGUUAAAAGGCAAAAACAAAAACAAAAAGUUGUUUUUGGUUUUGAUUCCUACUUUGGGUUGCCUACUUUCUUUACUUCUUGUUGUGGGAGCUUUAAGUAUUGGAUGCCGAAGAAUAAGGAAAACAAAUGCUAGUUCAGCUGAUGAAAGCAAUGAAAACCCAUGGGCAAUAUGGAGCUUUGAUGGAAGAAUGAUUUAUGAGAGCAUUAUUGAAGCCACAGAGGAGUUUGAUGCCAAAUAUUGUAUUGGUGAGGGAGGAUAUGGGAGGGUUUACAAGGUCCAGUUGCAAACAGGUGAAACUAUUGUUGUAAAGAAACUUAAGGAAGUAGUUGACGUAGAAAUGGCCGGUCAAAAAGCAUUUGAAAGGGAGAUUCAUGCUCUGACCGAAACUCGGCAUCGAAAUAUCAUCAAGCUCUAUGGAUUUUGCUCGAGUUCUCGACAUUCAUUUUUGGUGUACGAGUUCUUGGAAUCAGGCAGCUUGAAGGAUGUAUUGAACAAUGAAGAGAGGAUCGCAACAUUUGAUUGGAAUAAAAGAGUGAAUGUUGUUAAAGGUGUGGCCUAUGCUUUGUCCUACAUGCACCAUGAAUGCUCACCCCCAAUAAUUCAUCGAGACGUAUCAAGCAAGAACGUUUUAUUGGAUAAAGAAUAUGAAGCUCACGUCUCUGAUUUUGGCACAGCUAAAGUUCUACAACCUUAUUCAUCCAAUUGGACUUCCUUUGUAGGCACCUUUGGAUAUGCAGCUCCAGGUAAGUUGGUCUCUUCAAAAUUUUACCCCACUUCAUUUUAUAGAUAGGAAAAUGAUCAUACAUGAGAUCCUCGUUUUUUAGCUCCCUUCCUUUUACACUUGUAAAUUCCUAACAACAAGUCCAAGGCUAUCAUGCGAUUUAAAGGUUCGAUUAAAGAUUAAUUGAGAUGAAGGCCACCAAUUUUAAAACUGAAACUUUUUUCCUAAAGAAACGGAAAAUUUUAAAUCUCAUUGGAAUAUAAAGAAUGUAUUGAUUUAUACUUAAUUCUCUAGAUUUUAUUACUCAAAAUCAGUUUAGAUUUACAAAGCACGGAUAUUGCAUAAAAGCUAGAAAAAAAAUUGCUAUUUUCUCUCUGCAGAACUCGCAUACACAAUGGAAGUGAAUGAGCAAUGCGAUAUUUACAGCUUCGGAGUGGUAACAUUGGAAGUAAUUAUGGGAUGCCAUCCAGGCGAUCUCAUUUUUUCUCUCAUGUCCACAUCUUCAUCACCAUCAAGCAAUUCAAUAAUUUCUUGGCCAAUGAAGGAAGUUUUAGAUCAAAGAGUUCCAUUCCCCAAAGGUAAGGUGUUAGGCGAAGUGGCUUUGGUGACAAAGAUGGCAUUUUUGUGCUUAAAUCCCAAACCAGAGUAUCGUCCAACCAUGCAACAAGUUUCUCGGGCAAUAUCAUCGCAAAGCUCGAUCAUGUUAAGCCUAUCAAAGGACAUCAAAUUGGAAGAACUAAUUGAUCCUAAAUGCUUCACUUAUUGAGAUACUUCAGUCUUUCUAUUGUGUAGCAAGCCAUCUCCUAUACUUUAUUAUCUUGGUUAAUUCCAUUAUCAAUUUCUGUAAUGGUUCGUUGGUUACUUGAAAGCACUUGGGAAUUACUGUCAUUUGCAAUUCCAUCUCGGAAUUGAUGACCUACAGUUGGGACGUCCAAUCCUUAAGAAUAGCUUUAAAGAUAAUAAGAUCAUGAUAUUUUUUUAUAAAUAUUACAUUUGUUUGUUACAAUUUGGCUUGUCACGUAGAAUCCUAAACAUUGACGGUGGAAAAUGUGUUAAAUUCAAAAACAAGCACAAUUGGUGUAUGUUGGCAUCUAGUUUUUGAAGUUUGGUUCAACUAUUUUAGUUGAAUGCACACCAACAUCAAAAGUUAAGAAAAUAUGAAGUGCAGAUCAGAGUAUGAUUUUCUUAGAUUAAAUUAUAUGAGUAACUUUACAUCCUUUGAAAAAGGGAGAAUCAAUUUUAAUGAGGAUUAUUUUUAGAAAUUAGUAUCUCAGAAUUUCUAAAACUCAUCAUAAAAAUAAAAGUGAGUCUUAAAAUAUUUAAAAAGCACAUUCGAGUUAUAAAACUUCUGAAAUUGGUGUAAUAUACUCCAUUCAUAAGUUCCGCCUACUUUUCCCAAUGAGAAAUGCUAACGUAUCAUAUAUUUUUUUAAUUCUUUAAAGUGCGUGGCACAAAUGUGGCACCAACUAGUUGUAAAAAAACUUGCAAAAUUGAAAGUAUUAAGGAAAAAUGAUAAAUAAGUAAAACAAAAAUGUUAAUAAAAAAGCCAAAGCAAGGGCUACUGCCCUUGCCUGAACUUUGCCGAUUUCAAAACCCUCGUCCUGACCCGACCGGCCCAUUGACCGGACCCGAAAAUCUUGUCCAAAUCCGGCCCAACGGGCCUGGACGCUGCCGCGUGCCGACGCCUCUCUGUCUGUCGUCUUCCUCCGUGUCCCUCCGGUUUCCACUUCGAGAAAUUGGACGUGGUGCACACGUGGCGCUCGUGCAGCGCCUCCUCGCUUAUUGCUUCCCAUGUUACGUGGCGCGCGUCCUUUCUCUCUCUCUCUCUCUCUCUCCCCUUGAAAGCAGAGGCUGACUUUCUCUGUCUCCGUUUUGUCUCUUCCUUCUUCCUCCUCUCUCGUUUUCGCUUCGACGCGUCCACACAAACCCCCCCACAACCACCCCGAUCUUCCAUUCCCUCAACAAUGUCGACUCUCACCGUCCCGCAGCCAGUGCCCCCUGUAGCCGAUGACUGCGAGCAGCUCCGAAAAGCCUUCGCAGGUUCGCUCUAUCUUCUUCGCGCUGCCUCCUCCGAUUCUCUUAUCGCGUGUUGUUCGGUCGCCGAUGGUCUUGCUCCGUUCUUAGUGUUCGGAUCUGCGAUCUGCUUGGAGAUCGCGGUCUGAUCGGAGUGAUCUUUCGGUGGAUCGGUUGUUAAGAUCGAGCUAUUUCUGGGUUUAUUAUUUCUCUUGAAUUCGGAAAAAAAAAAAAAAUCAAAGCUUAUUGUCUAAUUCAAUCUUUUCUCUUCGUUGGAUGAUUAUCAUGUACGAUCUGGAAGGAUGGGGAACAAAUGAGAAGUUGAUCAUAUCCAUAUUGGGUCAUAGGAAUGCGGCGCAGAGGAAGCUGAUUCGGCAAACCUAUGCCGAGACUUACGGCGAGGACCUCCUCAAGGCAUUGGACAGAGAACUUACCAAUGAUUUUGAGGUCUGAUCUUCUUUAAUUAUUUGUAUUCAUCCCAUGGAGACGCGUCCCUCUUUCUCUCAGAUUAAUCCAUAUUCAUUCCGUAUCGUCAGAGGCUGGUGGUCCUUUGGUCGCUUGAUCCGGCUGAACGUGAUGCGUACUUGGCGAAUGAAGCGACGAAAAGAUGGACUUCAAGCAACCAGGUUCUCAUGGAAAUAGCCUGCACGAGGUCUCCACAGCAGUUGCUCAUGGCAAGACAAGCAUAUCAUGCUCGAUACAAGAAGUCGCUGGAAGAGGACGUCGCUCACCACACAACUGGAGAUUUUCGUAAGGUACUGCUUUUACGCUUGCCUCAUGUUGUUCCAUGACAUUUCCCAACGCUGAUGGUUGUUCUUCCGAGCAACUUAGGUUCGUACAUUUUGCAAUAAGUACUCUGUACAAUCAAGUCUAUGUAGCGUUGUGAUACUCAGAAUAAUUUCUUAUUCCUGUCUGGAAAAUAUUCUUUGUCAUUGAUGAAGGCAAGUAAACUCAAAUGUGUCUCUGAUUCAGCAUAUUACAGAAAGUUUGAGAAUAUAAGUUGUCAGGUGUUCAAUUUUUAAGACAGUUUUGGAGUUUUGCAGAGAAUGCUUGUUGGAAUGGUGGUGGGCUUUGGAGCAGUUCCUCAUAUUUUGAUCUGUCAAUUUAUUAAAGAUGGUUUCAUGAAACUCUAGAGACCAUAUACGCUACUUCAUUGGACCUCUUUCUAUUGUGUCAAAUGAAUAACCAAGUCCAUCAUCAAAAGAUUAGUCCUAUGACAACCUGUGAAAUAAUUCUCAUCUAUCCUAAAUCAUUUCAAUUUUCAUUAGGUGUUGAUGUAAGUAAUUUCCUUGCCUGUAGGGAAAGAACUUUAAUUGAUAUGGUUUCUUUGUCUCCUAGUUGCUGGUACCUCUUGUGAGCUCCUACCAUUAUGAUGGAGAUGAGGUGAAUAUGACUUUGGCAAAAGCAGAGGCUAAGAUACUCCACGAGAAGAUCUCAGAGAAGGCUUAUGGCAUCUCAUAAGGAUUUUGGCUACUAGGAGCAAAGCACAGGUCAAUGCUACGAUGAAUCACUACAAAAAUGAGUUUGGAAAUGAUAUCAACAAGGUGAGUUGGAAUUUCUAUGAACUGGACCUUUCAAGUUCUUUUUCCUAUAUGUCUAAAGCUUAUAGCUCCUCAAGGAUGAAGAGUGCCAGGGUAGUAUUCUUUUUGGUUAAUAGUCAUGUUGUUAAGAGGCAACUUCAAGAUGUCUUGUUUCAAAAACAUUGAGAUGUGAUAAUAUCACCCAUUUCCGAGUUGUUCAUUCACUUCCAGACUAUAAUGUCUGUACUAUGCAUCAGAACAUAUUGACUUUUCUUUGUUCUAGAUUAAGGAUUGUCUAAUUCUUGAUCCUUCAUGUUCACAGGAUUUGAAAACUGAUCCAAAAGACGAGUUCCUUACUAUACUGAGAGCUACAGUAAAGUGCUUGACUCGCCCUGAGAAGUAUUUUGAGAAGGUUCUUCGUCUAGCCAUCAAUAAGCGAGGAACAGAUGAAGGGGCUCUGACCAGAGUAGUUGCUACCAGGGCCGAGGUUGAAAUGAAGUUUAUAAGUGAGGAGUACCAGAGGAGGAAUAGCAUCCCUCUCGAUCGUGCCAUUGUCAAGGACACUACUGGAGACUAUGAAAAGAUGCUUCUGGCAUUGAUUGGCCACGUCGAGGCUUGAUUUACAAGUACUCGUGAAGCUAUUCCGAUGGAGGCAAUAUCUCUUUUUUUGGUGUGUUUGAGGCGUUUCUAUUUUCCUUGCUUUCCAACAACGUGUGGUUACCAACAUGCCUCCUUGUAGCUAUGCGAAGCAAAUACACUUCUUAUCAUGGCGUUGGUUUAUGUACUUAUGAGAAGUCUUUGAUUUUGAUCUUUAAUCGAGACAGCUAGUAAGUGAUCAUGAAAACUUUCUAUCCCACCUCCUUCCCCUCUCUCUCUCUCUCUCUCCUUGGAGGCGGAGGCCGACUUCCUUUCUCUUGUUUCGUCUCCUUCUUCUUCCUCCUCUCUCUCUCUCGUUCUCACAUCAACGUGAACGCAAAGCCGGUGCUCUCCAUGUUGGAAAAAGUAUUAGAAUAUAUAAAAUAAUAAUAAUUAUUGGAAAUACAUUAUAAAAGAUUAAAAUGAAAUGUUUGAGGCGUGCAAACACUGUCCUUAAGGAUAAUUCCGCCCCUCGGAGUACGAAACUCAAUGUGUAAGUGAUAACUCUAUAAAAAUAGAGUUAUUUUACCUAUUUUAGGCAACAAUUAAUGCAUUAUCUAUGAGAAAGUAUUUGGAUUUCCUUCUGAUUAUUUAAAUUUUCUUUGUUUAUGUAGAAUAAUGAGAUAUGGAGAGGAUAAGGAAAAUAAUGGCAACUAUCAGGAAUUCAAAUAAAAGCAGCAGUGGAAGAUGGAUAUCAAAUCAGGAAAUUCUUGAUUUUGUUUCCUAAUGUUAUCUGCAAGCGUUGGGAGAUAGAUAUUUUAGAUUUCCUAUAAAUAGGAAAGAGAGAAGCUCGGUUUUUGGGGGGUUAGAUCGUUUUCGAUUGUUCUGAAAGUUUUUCAAGUAUUUUGAAGAGAAGACAAAAGUGGUGAUAGAAUUCUUGUCAUUUGAUUCAAGAUGCUGGGUUUGAUCUAUAUUUUUAUUUUUAUUUCUUAUUCUACUAUCUAAUUUUCUUUUGUUAGGGCUACGAUGUAGCCUAACCAUGAUGAUGUGAAUUUCAUGAUUUUUAUGUUUUAUAAUUGAUUUCAUUCAUGUGAGUUAUAUAUUAUUGUGUUUAAUGCUUUUGAGUGACUGGCCACCACUUGAAUGAUCUGAUGUGCAUGUUUGAGACUGAGAAGUGAUAAUAUGCAAUUGCUCAUUAUAAUAUAUAACCAUGAAUUAAAUGUGGAUAGAGAUAUACCGUGUUAUUUGUGUAGCUUUCGGUGAUAAGGUGAUCCAAAAGACUCAUUGUAAACCGGGAAUAUUCAUAAUUUUUAAUGCACUCAUGUUUAUUUUAAUUCACAUAGAGAUAUAGUGAAUUGAUAAGCUGAGUAGGUUUGUUAUACCUAGAGAUAGGAUAAUAAAUAGAUUAGGAAAUUCCACUAUCACAUGUUUGAUAUCGUUCUUGUAUUCACAACAAUCUGAAAUUCAUAUCUAGUGGUUAUGGUGAAAUCGGAUGCUCUAACAUAUUUAUCUGAUCGAUUUACUGCAUUUAGUCUACAAAUUUCGUUUUUAAUUUAUUCUUAAUUAUAUUUUGCUUUGUUAGAUAAAUUUUAGAAUUAGUCUAUUUUAGUAUUUAAUUGGUUUAUUAAUCAUCGAUCUCUGUGGGACGAUACUUUAUCUCAUCAUUAUAUUACUUGUUCGAUACGUGCACUUGCGUUUAGAAUUUUAUGAAUAGUAAGGCUUCGGCAGCUAUCCUCCAAAGAUAUAACAGACCUUCUUCUAUACUCCGCACUGAAUAUUAGAAUGAAAUAGAACAACUUUUGUGUAUAACCCAGCAAAAAGAAAAUGAAAUAUGUGAGAACAUAUUGUAUCUAUUAAGAUUGUGGUUUGAAGUUUAAUUUAUAUUUAAACAAGGAAAAGAGAGAGCCGUUAGGAGAUCAUCGUAAAUCAAUUAGUAAUUAAAAAGAUGACUGUUAUAAAACAAUGAAGAGUUUAUGAAGUAAUAAAUCAAAAGUUAUAAAGCCAUUAGACGACCAUUAUACAACCAUUAGAAAACCGUUAUAUGAUCAUUGAAAAAACCAUUACAAAAAUGAUGAUUUUCAUGACGAUCAUAAUUUCUAAUAAAUAUUUCAAAACUACUGAAAUAUCCAACACUGCAUGGCCGAUGAAUGCGAUCAACUCUGAAAAGCAUUCUCAGGGGCACGCUAUCUCCUUGCCACCUUUCUCAUUUCUUCGUGCUCCCCUGUCGUGGGGGGUACGGUCUGAGUGAUCUUGUGGUGGCAAUCUGUUCUAGAGUUCUUGUGCUUUCUUUUUGGGGUGAUCGGCUGCUAAGGUCGAGCUAUUUUUGGGUCCAGGAGUGAUCAGGAGAUGCAAAAAAAUUUGAUCAUUAUGAUUUCCUUUUGAAUUCGACAUGAUUAUUCCAUUGUAGCUGCAACAUGUUCACCGGUACAAGUAAAGAAAUUGAUCUCCUACCUUGAGCCCAGCAUGUAGUGUGGUCUUGGAAAAAAAAAAUUACACUUUAUUGUCUAAUCUAAUCUUUUCUUGUUUGAUGAUUCUCAUGAACGAUCUUGAAGGAUGGGCAACAAAUGCGAAGUUGAUCAUUGGCUCAUAGAAAUUCAGUGCAGAGGAAGCUGAUUAGGCAAACCUAUGCCGAGAAUUAUGGCGAGGACCUCUUCAAGGCAGAGACUUGUAUUUGUCUCCUAGUUGCUGUUUUCUCUAGUGAGCUCAUGCCGUUACGAUGGAAAUGAGGUGAACGUGACUUUGGCAAAAGCAGACGCUAAGACUCCACGCAAGGAUCUCGGAAAAGGCUUACGGUCAUGAGGAUCUCAUAAGGAUUUUGGCUACUAGGAGCAAAGCACAGGUCAAUGCUACAUUGAAUCACUGCAAAAAUGA